This is a long non-coding RNA of Dioscorea cayenensis subsp. rotundata (Guinea yam), 536 nucleotides long. RefSeq lists it as uncharacterized. Lineage: Eukaryota; Viridiplantae; Streptophyta; Magnoliopsida; Dioscoreales; Dioscoreaceae. The transcript is spliced from 5 exons. The record is from RefSeq and is a predicted model, not a curated record.
CUUGGAGGUUUUGAGAGAAGAAGAAGCUUGGUGUUUGAUUGGUGUUGUUUAGGAUUGGGAGAAAAUUCCAGGUGCCCAAGGGGGACUAGCUGGCGAAACAUCUUCGAAGAGGAAGGAAAUCGCCGACCAGUGUGCGCGUCUACAUGCAAGAUGACAUGUUCUGAGUUUGUGAACCUUGCGAGGACUCGAGGGUUGAGUGGUGGGUGUCCCUCCUCGGGUUGUCGCGGUAAUUGUCACGUGGUGGCUCGCGGGUCGGGGCGUAACACUUUUAAUUUCCACCCACCAAGGCAAAUAUCAAGUGAAUAUUUCUAACAUUACAUGCUAAUCCAUAAACACCAAGCACCAUUUAAUGCUUCAUUUGAAAUAUAAACCUCCUUUGUGAUGUGGUGCAAGACAUGACUUCAAAAGUAGGGCUUUCUUGGUCACUGUGCAGAACUUUUUUUUCUGGUUUGAUAUUUUUCUACUAUUGGUGGUGGUGGUCUCCAUCAAUUCAGGUUGGGUUGUGCAACCAAUUAUGAAGGAAAGAAGCCAAUGUG